CGCAGCGAAGAGGCCCUUAUCAGCCCCCGUGGCCCUCCAGGGGUGGCUGCACAAGCAGGGCUCCGAGGGCCUCAUGCUCUGGAAGAAGCGGUGGUUCGUCCUCUCCGAGUACUGCCUCUUCUACUACAAGGGUCCCGAGGAGGAGAAGCUGCUGGGCUCGAUCCUGCUGCCGUCUUAUCGGGUGACGAUAUGCCGCCCGGAGGACAAGGUAGCCAAGAAGUUCGCCUUCAAGGCCGAACAUGCGAACAUGAGGACGUACCUGUUCGCGGCAGACUCUCGGGAGCGAAUGAACCAGUGGGUGAACGCCCUGACCCUGGCGACGCUCCUCCAGGACCCGAACCCGGGUGGAGGCGAGGCACCUGUCGCCCUGGAGAUCGCUGGACCAGCGGAUGGCGAGAGAAGCGCCAGACCCUCCGUGUCGUCCAUCUCGUCGAUUCUGAACCAGAGUGCCGACGACAGCGACUCCGGGUUCCACGGGUUCCAAUCCAGGGAUGAUCCGAGCCAUGCCUCGAACAACAAUUCCAGCCCGAACAGCGCGAACACCGCGUCCUUUCCAAAUCUCAGCACCAAUGGGAGCAGCGGGACCGGUCAGGAUGGCCAACCUCAUCCGCUGAUCAAUGGAUGGAUGCAGCAACCGUAUGCACAGGCUGGGACCUCCCAGCAACAUCAGGUGCAGCACCAGGUCCAGCAUCCGGGACAACUUCAGGUGCAGCAUCAGGUUCAGCAUCCGGUGCAGCAUCAGGGACAACAAGUUCAGCAUCAGGUGCAGCAUCAGGGACAACAUCAAGUUCAGCAUCAGGUUCAGGUCCAGCAUCAACACCAGCACCAGGUGAACCCUCCAUCGUCCCCCCAGCAGCAAUUCCAGCUGCAGGUCCAUCCACACCAGCACCUGCCGCACCAGUACAAGCAACAGGUGCACCAACAGCAGCAGGUACAGCAGGCAGCAGGGCCCAGCAACGUGCAGACGGUGCAGCCCAUGCCAAGGAACUUCGGCCAGCCGGUGUAUGCAAAUGCGCCCCCAAAGCCCAGAAGACUGACCGAUGGGUCCAACGACUAUUCCACCCCAUCCCCAGACCCUGACUAUAGACGGUCCCCGGUGUCUCCUGAUGUCAGGGUUGCUGCGAAAAGUCCGAUUGCUGAGUACGAGAGGAAUGGACCGGUGUAUGUCGCCUCCACCAGGAUGCCGGGAGCGCUGAGGACUGAUAGAUCAGGACUCAAUUAUGGGUAUGGGCAGGUGCAGUCCACCGAGAGGAGGACUCCGGAUACUUAUGGGAGGAGUGCUAAACCUAGGGGUUCCAGACCUAGUGGGGAUUAUGAGGAUGUGUAUGCAGGUCCUCAGCUGUAUCAGCGACCUGCUGGGCCGGUUGGGUACACCAAGGCUCCUACACCUGCGCCGAUACCUAUUCCUGGGUAUGGGCAGCAACAUCCCCAGAUGUACGUCCCGGCUCCGAGCAAUGGUCAGCCCAGGCAGGUGAGGGUCCAGCCACCACCCCGACCCCAUAGUGCGGACUUCCUGGAGUACGAGGCGACCAGGAGACCCCAUCAGCAGGUCCCCACAUUUGCCGAGGACCUCUCCACCCAGCAGAGGAGACCUCAGAGACCCAAGUCCAGCCUAGACAUCGUCAACCCCUCGGACGUGUCCCCCAGCGAUGGUUAUUUCUACUCGGAGGAGAGGUACGCCGCCCAGAUGCGCCAGUCGGCGGUUUACCUGCACCAGACUCCCCAGCAACAUCAGCAGCAGAGGAACCAGUCCCUCUCACGGGCCGCGACGCCCUCGAAGACGACGUCGACGAGGGACGUCGAGCCUGCCAUUGUUCCGGGCCUGGAUGGGUCCUGUCCUGCUCUGAAGAGGUCCCUGAGAGAGCACGGCCAUCAGCAGCAGGUUCUCUCGCAGUCCCUGCAGAGGUACUCCGAGAUGUCCAGCAACGAGGCGGUGCUGAGGAGGUCGCUGAGGGAGAGGAGCUACGAGAUGCCUCUUCAGGAAGGGGGAACCGUGCCCAGAAGAGCGCAGAGAGACUACGAGGUCACCAAUGGUAGGACUUCGAUGGGACACCCUGGACAUGCGGUACUCGUUGGUCAGGGCCAGUACCAUCAUAGCGGACAUGGGUCCAGGCGCUGGAACGAGCAAGUUCUUCAGCACCAGCAGCAACAAUUCUCCAGGUCGGCCUCUGCUCGACUUCCAAGGACCAGGCAUCCUGCAGGGGGAGACCCUGAAGAAAACCCUUACGAGCAGUCUCCGAGCCAGGAUGCCAGGGACGGAGAGCGGAAGAUCCAGCAGCGCGAGGAGUCCAUGAAGAGGUUGCUGGAGUGGAAGCAGAGGAUGCUGCAGUCCCCGCUGACGAGGAAGCCCUCGGGAUCCGCCCACCGUUCCUCCGGGCCGAACGAGCUCUCCAGCUACUACAAGAGACAGGCCCUCCUGGACCUCGCCGCCCACGAGGCGACCCUCGCCGAGGCCCGGCACUCCCGGCGUCGCGACGACGGGCAUCGGUCCCACCCCAGGAGCAAAAGCUCCGAUGGCCGCCGGUCUGCGAACAACGUCUCCAGAUACAACAGCUACUCCAGCGACGACGAAGCUUCCGGCUCGGGAUCGGUGAUCGGACGGGACCCUCUUCCUCCCAGGGCGGUGAGCACGUCUCAGCUGCCCCAGAGGACGCUGACGCAGCCUCCCGCGGGGCUGUCGACCCUCCCGCUAUCGAAGACCCCGUCCAGGGCCAUCGACGUCCAUCGACAGCCACUUCCGGUGCACCAGUCGACGCCCCAGGCUUCCGGACGCCAGCUCGACCGCGUCGAGAUCCUCCGCGCCGCCAGCAGCGGCGACGUCCGCCUGUGCCCGACCUCGUCGCAGGAAAUCCUGAAGGACCUGCCCAGACAGAGGGUGGUCAGUCCCGCGGGAGUGGCCAGGACUCAGGUCGAGCACAGAGUGUCCAGCCCGAGUGACUCCGAAAUGCAGCCGCAGAGUCCCGGGGAGAGGAGGACGAGUCCAGCCAGCAGAGAGGUGGACCGAGGUGGAGGGCCCAGACAUCAUCCCCGAGGAUCUCGACCCGGCAAGGACCUCUCCCAGAAAGGGCAGCAGCGGCGACCAGGAAGUGCAGGUGGACUGGUUCAAGUAUCGGCUGGUGAACUUUUAGGCAGGACCCAUGAAGAGCUGGUCCUCUUGCUGAUCCAGCUUCGGCGACAGAGUGCGACACUCUGCAAGGCGAUGGAGACUUGCCACAUGGAGAUAGAAGCGCAGGCCAGACUGGCGGAGCUCGACACUCCUCGGAGGCUGGAGAACUGGCAGAAACUCGAGGAGCUGCAGAAGCACCUGAUGGAUCUCGAGAAACAGUACGAGAAGGGGAAGCCCCUGGUGAACCUCGUCGAUAACAUGGUGAAGCUCGGCUCUCUUUAUAACCAUGGGAACCACCCCAAUGGGACCGUCGGUGGGUCUCGACAGGAUCUUCUUCAUGGUCUAGAUCCUGCCAAGGAACACCGGGAUAGAUUGGAGUUCAACCAGAGGGUCCAGGAACAGAGGCUGUUGGCAGAGGAACGCAGAGAUUGGGAUAGGCUGAGCCCUGACCACGGACAACUUCAGGCGAAGGUGCAGCAGCUCUACAAACUGGACCGACUUUUACAAGAGGAAUCCGGUACACUUCACAGUCUCCAACAGGACAAGGAGAUCCUAGAGAAGGCCCUGGGAGGUCUCAGGCACAAGAUGCAGAGCAGUAGAAGUAAUCCCGUGGAGACUGAGAGAUACAGGAAGCAGCAACUCCUGCUGGAAAGAGAGCUCAGCAGGGUGAGGCUUCUCUUGGCCCACAACUCGAAGAAACUCGAGGAAACCGUGGCCGAGAACGCGAGGCUGGAGCAAGAGCUGGUCGUCCUGAGGCAGAAGCUGCAGGCGUCCCGAAGGUACGCCGGGAACAUGGCGAGAGAUCCCUCGGGAACCACCGCGGCCCUUGAGGCGGAGCUGAGGAGGGUCCAGCAGCUGGUCGGAGAUCUGCAAAGACAGAGACAGGAGCUGAGUGUCCAGGUCCGACAGCUCACCGAGAAGUCUCACAGCCUGGUCCAGCAGAUCAGACCUCAGUCUGCUGCAGCUCCCCAGGUUCACCAGUCAAAGAAAAGGACUCACAGCUCCUGGCUGGAGACGGACCUGGAUUCUGGGACCACCCUGGACCACGGUCUGGAUUCACCCUCGAGUCCUGCUCUCUCGACAUCUCCCAGAAGUGGGCAAAACUCUCAUCAAGCCUCCCCGAGGUUCAAGGACCCUCCGGCGCCCUACAAGGAGAACUUCCCCAGAUACUCUCCUCCGAUCCAGGACUCCCAGUCCUUCGGUCAGACCCUUCCAUCUCAGAAUCACAUCUCAGCCCUGUCUCCUCAGCUUCGGGAGCAGAUCCAGCAGCACCAGCUCAAGCAGCAGCAGCUGAGGGACCGGAUGCAGGGAAAAGGAAGUCCGGUGCAGGCCAAUGUCGCCCCUCUUUACGUCAACACGGAAUCAAGAAGACAAGACGUGCCGAAACAUGGGGAAGUUGGAUUGAGCAAUGGACCAAUCCCCCCUCCGGAGUAUGUCCCUCCUCCACCCCCACCUCCCAGCGAGGAGGCUCUUCUGGUGAACGGAGGAGUCUAUGGACAUGCCGAAGAGAACAAAUUCCCAGGUCUGCUGCACGGCCGGGAGAAACAGGAGAUCAAGACGGUGCGCAUCGUGAAACGCGAGUCGGAGCGACGUCAGAGGGACCGAGGAGAUCGUACAGGGAACCUGGGUAUACCAUUGACGAACGGACUGCCGGUCCCAGGAGGAGCCAAGAGACUGGCCGAAGAGGAGUCCUCCCAGCAGCUGGAGAAGGCACAACUCGGCCGAGUGGUGGAGGAGUCCCCGAUGACGCACGCCCAGAGCACGGUGCAACUCUCAGAGUUGGACGAGGUCCAGUUCCAACGGAGCAUGUCGCUUCCCCGAGGUUUCGGUGGUCAGCGACCCCAGCCUGGGAUCCACCAGGGUCUUCUUCAGGGCCCGGUGCCCCCUCCGCCGCGGAGCGACAGCAUGAACGCCCUGAGGAACAUGAUGGCCCGUCGACAUAGAGUCAGGCAGUUUGAGCAUCAGGACGCCAGCUCGGACAGUACCCUCUCGCCGUACACGGAGAGUCCGACCUCGACCUCGAUGGCGAACAGCUCGCCGAACUACUCGACGAGCCCAUCAGCCUACAGCCCCAGCCACCAGAAUUAUCAGGCCCAGGGUGCAAGGGCGAUCUCGAACUACCUCCAGGUGGGACCUUACGGGUCCAUUCCCUCGCUCGCGAAGGAAGGGAACCAGGUGCCGGGGAAUUCCACAGCGGUUUCCCCGGUUCCACCUCGAGACCGGUUCUUCGGGUCCGCGGCCAGCAUCAACAGCCUCUCCGAGAGUCCACAAUUAUCUCCCGUCUUCAAGAGCGAGGCUGCCAGGCAGAUCAUCAAGGAAAUGACCGAGAAGAGGUCCGAGGGCCCCAGGAGGCGACAAGUGCCCAAGGAGAAGAGGAGGCACUACACCGUCUCCAGCAGCAAACCUGUCUUCGACCUUGAAGACACGUUUUCCAAGAUGGGCAUGGGCAGGGCUAGGGACGACCUGGACAUGGAAAGGGCCUUGAGGCCCAGGAUCAACGCUCCUGAUGUCGUCAGGUCUACUCUCAGUCACAAGGAACUGAAGUAUAACGAGAGCACCAUUGAUCAGCUCCUGGGCACGCCGAAUAAGAUCCUGAUUCCGGAGCGGUACAUCCCUGAACAGACUCCCGAGUUGAGUGCGGAAGAGCAAGAGCACAGGCUGAAGAAGGCGGAGUCCAUUAGGAAGAUGCUCUCGGAGACUGCCGUGACUGCUCCAGAAGGAGGCGGUGAGGACUAUCUCUUGCUCGACGACGAGAUGGAGAAGUCGGACACCCUGAAGAAGAAGGUGGCCGAGGAGAAGCGACAGAGGGAACACAUCCUCCAGCUGAAUCAGAUCCUGGCUAAGCAGGUAACCAGGCGCACUGACUGACAUGCUUCCUCCAUCUUCCCAUGUAGGACACGCACAUCACAUUACCGUAUUUCAGUUCAAGCCCUGGCCACGCUGCCCUUGAACCAGGAGCCGAGCUUCGACGAGGACGACCUGUCCCCGGUUACACCACUGCCUUUGUACCAACAAAGAGAGAAUUAUUACUCGUAAACCGAGAAAUAAUUCCUAGAAGGAACGACGGAAAUACCGAAGACUAAACCUACUGCCAGAACCUUGGAAUUAUUUCUGAUAAUGCACAAUUAGUCUAACGCCACGCGGACUGAUGGGAGAAGAGGAAGAGUCCUUGGAAAUGGAGAUAAUGGUAACUCGUAAAUUUCACAGAGUUCUCCACGGUAACGAAAAGCUCAGGAUGAACACGAGGAGGUCUCUGUCCCCGCAUUUAAUAAUUAGCAAUUAAUAUUUGUGACCACACCGCGACCGAAAGUGUACAGUCAAUAGGGUCUAGCCUAUAAGUUAAGCUAACGAUUUAAUUAAAUAAUUAAGAUUAACUUAGGCAUAGGCAUCCCAGGACUGUUGGUUAUCACGUUAACGAACGAGCCUCGUACUUCUCUUAUCAUCUUUUCCAUUUUUUUCUCCUCUCUCUCUAAAUUUUAUCACUGCGGAAUUUUAUUCCUGGAAGUGUAAGAAAUUCUGAUUAAAAUCCGGCACGUCGUUUGAGGGAUUGUUUAUUUCCUGGAUUGUGUAGAGAUUGAUUGUGGUAUUCGUUGAGUUGAUAAGACUUCUAGGAAGUGCGAGGAUUAAUUAUUAAAAAUUAGCCUACUCUUGGCAGGGUCUCGGAGUCCUAGCCUUCCGAUUCGAUAUCGCGGGGCGUCGAUUUCCUUAUUUUUUAUAUGUAUAAAAAGAAAAAGUAACGUAACGCCACCCUACAUUGACUAAACAAUCAAAUUAAUUAAGUGACCGCGUUAGUGCCAAACCCGUAGCGGGCUCGGGAACCGUCGUCAAUUAUGUUAAAUAAAUUAAGCUUAACGAUUUUUACCGUCGAGGAUCAAUACGAGGACUUCCAGUCUCUCGUCCGAAAUUCAUCGAAGUCGUUAUGCAAGUCCUUGGGUAGUUUUAUAUUAAAAACGAGAUAAAAGAAACGAAGUAAUAGGUCUCAGCGUGGUGCCCUUAAGCAAUUAACUGAUUAGUGAUAAAGCUUACGACUCUUCCGAGUGAUUUCUCUUAAGAAAUGCCGAAAAACAAAAUGGCGCCGCCCUUCGCGAGACCUCUUUCUCGCGCUUUCGCCUUAAUUUCCCGUUUUCUCCUCGUCCUUGACACAUCUUAUCGAAGAAGAACCUUGUUAGAAUAUCUUGUUAAAAGUGAUAGGAAGAAAAAUAAGGGCGCACUUUCGCCUUAAUUUCCCCUUUCGACGCGUCUUGUCAUUAAACCUUGUUAAAAAAAGAUCAUAUUAAAAAUGGUAGAAAAAUGAAAAAAAAAUAUAUGAAAACAGCGUCGAGGCCUUUCUCGUGCUCUUUCGCUUUAAUUUCCCCCUUUGUAUUGUCUAUUGGCCUUGACACGUCAAUGACUUCGGUACAGCUUUAAAGGAGGAACGACAAGCCCUUAGCAGCGUAUAUGAAAGGAUAAUGAAUGGCGUCGGUACCGUUUGUAGGUUUGCGGGUACCAAGAGAAAGAGGGAGAGAGAGAAUGCCGGAGUGCCUGAAGACGCAUGAGAGAGACACCUCUAGGUGUGAUCACAAAUAUUUCAGUUAUUUCCCAGACGGGCUCGAAUCGUACGCACGUGGCGCGCCGAAUAUUUAUGUGGCAAUAACCACGUCCCUUUAAAUUUAUCAUCCUCUACCUACACCGUCAAACAAAAAAAAUAUAUUAAGACUUUAUAAGAGCGCACCAUCGACAUAUAUAUUUUUUUCCACUUCUUGAGAACCCCCUCGACGAUUCGCAAAAUUAUCCCCGCGGUAAUUAUUUCCGUACAGCGUGUGAGAAUUAAUUAUAUUGGACAAUAAUGCCCCGCCACGAGGAGGCCCCCCGUCUAGGGAAUAACAAAUUACCGAAUAAGACCCGACUGCAUGGUAAAUUUAGAGAAUUGCGCCUAAGUAUGUAGAAAUUAUCUAUCCGGGUUUAAAUACACGCGAAUACAUGAAGUACGCCGAGGCCGUACGUGCGACAUUGCGAUGUAUGUACAUAGCGACGCGGAAGUAUAUAUGUAUGUACACGGUAUGCACCUACGUGGUAUCAAUAUCUGAUUAGACGCUGUUUCAGGCUCCGUACCCGAGUAUAUUAAUUAUAUACGAGCGAUUACCGUAUACAUACCGAGUGCGCUAAUUACGUAUGAAUUACGUAAACGCGAGCAUGUGCUGAAUUCGCGCCUGCGGAUUAAAUUGCCCCCCCUCAACCUUCCCGAAAAUAAUUAAUUUCCAGUUUAACAGUUGUGCCCACAUUAUGCAAUACCCGAUUCUCCUUCUCAUUGCUAAUUUCAUCCUGUCAAAUUGUCGACACUCCCGUUUGUGGAUUUCCGAGCCUCGUUUCUACGUCGGCGCUUCUCGUAGACUCUCACCUAUACAUAUAUAAAUAGUAUAUAAAUAUAUAAAUAAUUAUAAAUACUAGUAGUGCCAGGUAUAUUGAUCCUGGGAUUUUUUCGAGAUGUCACCCUUUGGGAGAUUCGAAAAUCGACGGAUUUCGAGCUUUAAGACGACUUUUUCGAGGAUUUCACAAUGGGAUUCGGACUGCGGGAACUUUAAGGGGAUGUCAAAGUGACGUUCAAUCUUUCUUCCAAACUUUUUUCCAUACUGGGUCCACCGAAUUGUUUCAAACUUUGCAACGCGAAUGUGGAGGCUUUAGGGAAGGUCCCGACGCCCAUGAAACUUUGAUUUUCUAUACAGAAAUGUUAAGACAUUUUUUAAAAAUUAAAUUCUCAUGGGUGUCGGGACUUUCAUUAAGGCUUUUGUAUUUACAUUGUAAAUUUUGAGGCGAUUCGGUACACCCAGUUCGGGAGGAAAGUUUCAUAAGGGAGAUUUUUGGCGGCACUUUCAUGUCGCCUUAAAGAAGAAUGGGGAAUUUUGGCCAAUUGUUUCCUCUUCAUCUGGUGGAUAACAAUCGUUUCGCGGCACGGUCCGGUCUUAGGCGCUCAAUUUUAUUGUUUCGACAUUAUACAUAUGUUGAUUAUUGCAUAGUUCUAUAUUGACAUAUUUUUUAGCUAGGCGAGGACGAUAGCAGGCACCUUCUGUCGGAUAGGACAUUAGAGUUUAAGGCGGUUUUACAUGAGUAAGCGUAAUGAGGGGUCGCGUUUACGGCCGAGAGAAUGCGCAGAAUUACGGCCGGCGUGGACGUGUAAUUUAAUGUUACUACUGUUUCAACGAGACAAAUAA
RNAcentral lists this unclassified non-coding RNA (9294 nucleotides) under Orussus abietinus. RNAcentral describes it as "serine/arginine repetitive matrix protein 2, transcript variant X1". The record is from RNAcentral. Lineage: Eukaryota; Metazoa; Arthropoda; Insecta; Hymenoptera; Orussidae.